This 498-nucleotide ribosomal RNA is filed under the name uncultured bacterium. RNAcentral describes it as "partial 16S ribosomal RNA". It matches the Rfam family "Bacterial small subunit ribosomal RNA", at positions 30 to 523 of the family's 1533-position model. The record is from RNAcentral.
AUUGAACGCUGGCGGCAUGCCUUACACAUGCAAGUCGAAUGGUAACAGGUCUUCGGAUGCUGACGAGUGGCGAACGGGUGAGGAAUACAUCGGAACGUGCCUAGUAGUGGGGGAUAACUACUCGAAAGAGUGGCUAAUACCGCAUGAGCACUACGGAUCAAAGCAGGAGAUCGCAAGACCUUGUGCUACUAGAACGGCCGAUGGCAGAUUAGGUAGUUGGUGGGAUAAAAGCUUACCAAGCCGACGAUCUGUAGCUGGGCCGAGAGGACGAUAAGCCACACUGGAACUGAGACACGGGCCAGACUCCUACGGGAGGCAGCAGUGGGGAAUUUUGGACAAUGGGCGAAAGCCUGAUCCAGCAAUGCCGCGUGCAGGAUGAGGGCCUUCGGGUUGUAAACUGCUUUUGGACGGGGCGAAAAGCCCCGGGUUAAUACCCUGGGGUCAUGACGGUACCGUAAGAAUAAGCACCGGCUAACUACGUGCCAGCAGCCGCGGUAA